AAGAAAGUCAAUGACAUGAUCUUUGCCCUCAAAGAGUUCCCAUUAUAAUUGACUUUCGUGAAACCAAGUAUGUGUUAAGAUCAAUGUGGGAGAGUUUCUACCAGAUGUGAUCAUAGAGAUAAAUGUGUUCACUGAUCUACUGAGUCACAGCAUCAUCACAGAGAAUACAUCAGCCUGGAAGAGCCAACUUGCUGUGUUACAGUGUAUGAGCUGUGCUGACAAAGCCUGGAGAAUAACACUGACUGAAGAAAAAGAAUCCUCCUCCAUCUCCUUCGCUCCCCUACUUCAACCUGGCAGGAGCAAAACUCUCAGGGAUCAUCGUACAGCAUGGCCUUCCACACAAGCUGUUUUUCGAUAUCACAGGGAGGAGUGAAGAGGUAAUGGUGAAGAAAUCUCCCAAUUGGAGCCUCUUUAGAACUUCCCUGAAUGGUA
RNAcentral lists this long non-coding RNA (432 nucleotides) under Phascolarctos cinereus (koala). Its description in RNAcentral is "lncRNA (ENSPCIG00000024755.2)". Lineage: Eukaryota; Metazoa; Chordata; Mammalia; Diprotodontia; Phascolarctidae. The record is from RNAcentral.